Molecule: non-coding RNA, 28 nt
Filed under: Mus musculus (house mouse)
Lineage: Eukaryota; Metazoa; Chordata; Mammalia; Rodentia; Muridae
Source: RNAcentral
UAUUGAUGUGUUUGGUGUUAGCCUAUGU